Molecule: ribosomal RNA, 466 nt
Filed under: uncultured bacterium
Lineage: Bacteria
Description: partial 16S ribosomal RNA
Rfam family: Bacterial small subunit ribosomal RNA
Source: RNAcentral
GACGAACGCUGGCGGCGCGCCUAACACAUGCAAGUCGAACGAGCGAGAGAGAGCUUGCUUUCUCGAGCGAGUGGCGAACGGGUGAGUAACGCGUGAGGAACCUGCCUCAAAGAGGGGGACAACAGUUGGAAACGACUGCUAAUACCGCAUAAGCCCACGGCUCGGCAUCGAGCAGGGGGAAAAGGAGCAAUCCGCUUUGAGAUGGCCUCGCGUCCGAUUAGCUAGUUGGUGGGGUAACGGCCCACCAAGGCGACGAUCGGUAGCCGGACUGAGAGGUUGAACGGCCACAUUGGGACUGAGACACGGCCCAGACUCCUACGGGAAGCAGCAGUGAGGAAUAUUGCACAAUGGGGGAAACCCUGAUGCAGCGACGCCGCGUGGAGGAAGAAGGUCUUCGGAUUGUAAACUCCUGUUGUUGGGGAAGAUAAUGACGGUACCCAACAAGGAAGUGACGGCUAACUACGUG